UGAAAGCGCGGGCGGAGGGUGCGCUUGUGUUCUUGAGACCCAGGUUCCAUUACAAACCACCCAGCAUCGCCACCGGCGCCCCCCGUUUCAAUAAGGAAGCCACUUUGUCAAAACAUUCUAAAAGAAACUUGGGAAGAGGACGCGUCAGAGAAAUACCGCCGCCGAUUAACUAUCAGCUGCGCCUCCCCUGUGCACAGAAAGCAUGCAGCAGAGAUCAGAGGAAGGGCCAUUUGGUCCAGAGAGACCCUGAUUCACAGCCUUGUCCUGUUCCAAGCAAUGUUGGGAUGAGCUGAAGAAGAUGCCUCCGUUCUCAGACCCAAAAGGCACAAAGACGGCACCUUUGGGAGAGCCAGGCACUACCAGUGUCUUGAGUGCUGAAUAUUGUGCAUUCGAAAGCAAUGAGAGCUCUAGGGUGGACCUUUCACUGGCACUCAAAGAGAACCAAGGAAGCAGAGAAGGAUGAUAAAU
Molecule: long non-coding RNA, 468 nt
Organism: Homo sapiens (human)
Lineage: Eukaryota; Metazoa; Chordata; Mammalia; Primates; Hominidae
Source: Ensembl